ACUGGAUGCGGGUUCUAUGAUGACAGUUAGGGUGCUCAGCCAUCCGAUCACCAGAGUAGGCCAGCUCAAGCACCUCUUGUGUAUUGGCUUCUUUGUAGACUGAUUUAAAUGUCUUGAAGUUGACUAUGCUGUUGUGACCCAAUAGGACGAUAAGCAACCAUAGACUACUUCUUUGCUCUAUUCUUGCCCUGAUGGUCUCAGAUCCAGAAAAAAAUGAAUAUACACAUUUCUUCACAGG
Molecule: long non-coding RNA, 238 nt
Organism: Peromyscus leucopus (white-footed mouse)
Lineage: Eukaryota; Metazoa; Chordata; Mammalia; Rodentia; Cricetidae
Exons: 2
Source: RefSeq, a predicted model, not a curated record